Molecule: transfer RNA, 86 nt
Filed under: Deltaproteobacteria bacterium HGW-Deltaproteobacteria-22
Lineage: Bacteria; Deltaproteobacteria
Description: tRNA-Ser
Rfam family: tRNA
About the family: Transfer RNA (tRNA) molecules are approximately 80 nucleotides in length. Their secondary structure includes four short double-helical elements and three loops (D, anti-codon, and T loops). Further hydrogen bonds mediate the characteristic L-shaped molecular structure. tRNAs have two regions of fundamental functional importance: the anti-codon, which is responsible for specific mRNA codon recognition, and the 3' end, to which the tRNAs corresponding amino acid is attached (by aminoacyl-tRNA synthetases). tRNAs cope with the degeneracy of the genetic code in two manners: having more than one tRNA (with a specific anti-codon) for a particular amino acid; and 'wobble' base-pairing, i.e. permitting non-standard base-pairing at the 3rd anti-codon position.
Source: RNAcentral
GGAGGAGUGGCCGAGCGGUCUAAGGCGGCGGUCUUGAAAACCGUUGUGCGAGAGCACCGGGGGUUCGAAUCCCUUCUCCUCCGCGA